RNAcentral lists this ribosomal RNA (484 nucleotides) under uncultured bacterium. RNAcentral describes it as "partial 16S ribosomal RNA". It matches the Rfam family "Bacterial small subunit ribosomal RNA", at positions 30 to 507 of the family's 1533-position model. The record is from RNAcentral.
AUUGAACGCUGGCGGCAGGCCUAACACAUGCGAGUCGAGCGGAUGAAGGGAGCUUGCUCCUGGAUUCAGCGGCGGACGGGUGAGUAAUGCCUAGGAAUCUGCCUGGUAGUGGGGGAUAACGUCCGGAAACGGGCGCUAAUACCGCAUACGUCCUGAGGGAGAAAGUGGGGGAUCUUCGGACCUCACGCUAUCAGAUGAGCCUAGGUCGGAUUAGCUAGUUGGUGGGGUAAAGGCCUACCAAGGCGACGAUCCGUAACUGGUCUGAGAGGAUGAUCAGUCACACGGGAACUGAGACAGGGUCCAGACUCCUACGGGAGGCAGCAGUGGGGAAUAUUGGACAAUGGGCGAAAGCCUGAUCCAGCCAUGCCGCGUGUGUGAAGAAGGUCUUCGGAUUGUAAAGCACUUUAAGUUGGGAGGAAGGGCAGUAAGUUAAUACCUUGCUGUUUUGACGUUACCAACAGAAUAAGCACCGGCUAACUUCGUG